This 59-nucleotide ribosomal RNA is filed under the name Melitaea trivia (lesser spotted fritillary). The record is from RNAcentral. Lineage: Eukaryota; Metazoa; Arthropoda; Insecta; Lepidoptera; Nymphalidae.
GACAACGUCCAUACCACAUUAAAAACACUGGUUGUCGUCCGAUCACCGAAGUCAAGCAA